GCCUAAAGCGUCCGUAGCCUGCUUUGUAAGUUUUCGGUUAAAUCCAUACGCUCAACGUAUGGGCUGCCGGAAAUACUGCAAAGCUAGGGAGUGGGAGAGGUAGACGGUACUCGGGAGGAAGGGGUAAAAUCCUUUGAUCUCUCGAUGACCACCUGUGGCGAAGGCGGUCUACCAGAACACGUCCGACGGUGAGGGAUGAAAGCUGGGGGAGCAAACCGGAUUAGAUACCCGGGUAGUCCCAGCUGUAAACUAUGCAAACUCAGUGAUGCAUUGGCUUGAUGCUAAUGCAGUGUUGCAGGGAAGCCGUUAAGUUUGCCGCCUGGGAAGUACGUACGCAAGUAUGAAACUUAAAGGAAUUGGCGGGGGAGCACCACAAGGGGUGAAGCCUGCGGUUCAAUUGGAGUCAACGCCAGAAAUCUUACCCGGAGAGACAGCAGAAUGAAGGUCAAGCUGAAGACUUUACCAGACAAGCUGAGAGGUGGUGCAUGGCCGUCGCCAGCUCGUGCCGUGAGAUGUCCUGUUAAGUCAGGUAACGAGCGAGAUCCUUGCCUCUAGUUGCCACCAUUACUCUCAGGAGUAGUGGGGCGAAUUAGCGGGACCGCCGUAGUUAAUACGGAGGAAGGAAGGGGCCACGGCAGGUCAGUAUGCCCCGAA
RNAcentral lists this ribosomal RNA (654 nucleotides) under uncultured archaeon. RNAcentral describes it as "bacterial SSU rRNA". It matches the Rfam family "Archaeal small subunit ribosomal RNA", at positions 508 to 1160 of the family's 1478-position model. The record is from RNAcentral.